Paramacrobiotus metropolitanus is the source of this 718-nucleotide long non-coding RNA. RefSeq lists it as uncharacterized. The transcript is spliced from 4 exons. Lineage: Eukaryota; Metazoa; Tardigrada; Eutardigrada; Parachela; Macrobiotidae. The record is from RefSeq and is a predicted model, not a curated record.
UGUUGAAUUUUUGACAAAACUUGUACAGCAGGAUUUACCGAUACUUCUGCCAAGCAUCGUAGUUUGAAAACUUUGAACUUUCAGUCAGCAGUCGAAAUAUUCUGCAGCACAAUAAACAUUUGCGUUGACCUUUAAGUCCAUAGUGUUCCAGUUUUGUUAUACCAAUAAAUUAUUAUUAUAACACUCGAAUUCGAUAAUAUAUUUCAGCUAAAAUGGCACCUUCAUGUAAUGACUGCUCGUGCAAAGAUUGCAAGCCAAAGCCACGUGCUCGCAACACCUGCGACGGAGAAGCAUGCAAACCUCGAAAGCGAUCCACUGCUACUUCCACCGCUGCGCGAAAGCGGGAAUGUGCGCCGUGUGCUCCACGGAAGCGAAACACCUCCAAGCACUGUUGCGGAUGAAGAGGUCAGCUAGUUCAACGAUGUCUUGACUGUGGUUUUACACUUUUACUGUUGUGCAUUUUUAACCGAUCUGUGUCCCGUUUCUGCGAUGCCCGACAGUAAGGCGCUAUUGCGCGACUGGUUUUCUGGAUGUUUUUUUGUAACGCAUCCGUGAAAUUGUCCGGUUGAUACUUUUAAUUAUUUUAAAUUAUUAUAAUUUCAUUAGGCGGAUGUAAAUGUGAAACGCCCAGAGUUAUAACUCUUCUGAUGCUGUACAGAAUUACAUUACUGGUUAUGUGAUAUACCUGAAAAUCUAUUAAAGUUACGGUAUUUAUGGA